Molecule: long non-coding RNA, 1492 nt
Organism: Neodiprion fabricii
Lineage: Eukaryota; Metazoa; Arthropoda; Insecta; Hymenoptera; Diprionidae
Exons: 3
Source: RefSeq, a predicted model, not a curated record
CUUAACUAGACCGGCCGGUUCGAAAACUUCAGUCAAUAGACAGCCGGCCGAUCACACAACAAGAACGUGCGACUCGGUCAGUGUCGCCUCGUGCUCGGGUAUAAUCGUGCCCAGCUGGUAGCAAGGCUGGGAUAGGAGGGAAACGUGGGAAGGAUGACUGAAUGACAUUCGUUUACAGCUUUUUCAACUGGUUCCUUUCGCUACGCAGCAAGUGCAAUUCCCCUUGUAAUUGUUAAACCAAUCAAAAGACGGAUAAAGUAUGAUAAUUCCAUGAGUAACUACGGGAUAACGGAACGUCGGAGUACACCGCAGUGUCGCACAACAAAACGUGUACGGACAGUGAUGUCCAUUGAAGGGGUGACAAAUGAUCAGUCGAUUUUCGCCUGUCUCCAUUGGGAAAAUGCGGUGUGGCCUGUGGGUGUGACCUGCACCAUUCUAUCGUGUACGUUCCGUUGGCUAGUUUUAAGAGACCUCAUCGAAGAAUAUCUAGGUACACGUACGGAAAUUGAUCCUGCGACAACUAAGAUUUUUCCAUCGACAGUUACUUUGGCAAUGGGAAAUUUCAGCGCGUCGCUCCUUACCUCUCGGACGGCAUGUUGCGGGCUGAAAUUCUCGAUUACCAACGUAAUCGACUAGGGAGAAAAAAUUAAUUGUCACAGAAAGAAUUUCUGCAUGUGCACUCAGAAGGGUGUUGCGUAUUCACCCUAAUUUUGAACGUACGGGGUGGCCACUAAAUCUCAAUCACAAAAUUCCCCAACUUUUCCAGGUUUUCCAGACAAAAAUCUUAACUUCCCCUGACCAAUUCCGAUAAAUUGUUUCUAGCAAAUUGAUAAAAAUAUAUGUAUUUUUCAUAUAUUUCUUGUUUAAUGACCUACGAACUGUCACUUGGGUCACACUGUCCCAUUUAGGCGACGCGCACAAUCGUCUGUAGGGUAGUAUUUAAGAAUAUUCAAAGUUUGAAGAGAACCUUCCAGCAAUGAUAAAAAAAAUUUGACUUCGAUCUAAUUUAUUUAAAGUUUAAAGAAAUUGUGGGAUGCAUUUGUAUGAAAAAAAAAUAUAUUAAACGAUUCCCCGACUUUCUACAAAAAUCUCUGACAUUUCCCCGACUAUUCCAGAUUUUCAGAAUUUCGUGACAUUCCCAGGUUUUCCAGAAUUCCCUGGUCAGUAGCCUACCUGAUGUAGUAAUAAUUCUAUACCACAAUAAUUACGGUACGUAAAAUUCAGAGCAGAUGAACUUUGAUAAGUCGUGUAAUGUCCUUGAAUGUGAGUUCCCCAGGAUGAAAUUUUCAUUACUUGCAACAAUGCUAAUGUUCAUCUAGGUAUCCCUGUAUUCUUUAACUCGACUGACGACAAUUCAAAUGUUUUCCACACGGUACAUUCUUAUGAUCACUCAAGGCGUCGUUUGUCAAUUUUAGGUGGCUUAGUUUAUAAUGUCUGAAAAGUGGCUCAAAAUCAUCUUCGGCAACUUGAGAUUGUUCUGGGCUGUAUUCUA